CACAACAGGAGGGACCACAGAUGGCAGAGGCUCUGGUGUCAUGAGACAAGUUGGUGAAUUAGCCCCAGACAACCCAUUAUAUACAUCUUGGCAUUCUUCUGAAGAAGAUUGUGUUUGCUGAGCAGUAGGUAAGUUUGUAGGCGAGGUGAAGACAAGAAACUGGGAGGGACCCUGUCCAGAUGAUCUCUGUCUCUCCCUUCUGCGAAGAUAAUGAGCUCUGCUUGCAGCAGCAGCAAAAUGCUGCAUAAUAUGCUCAUCAAAAUCUGAGUCAUCUGAGAAGGAAUCCUGUUCUACAUCAAAAUCAACAAGAAGUGGCAGGUUUGAGGAUGCAGCAGAAGAUGUGUUCCUUGACCUUAAACACCUCUCAAUCUCAACAGCAGCUAGAAGUUCUUGGCAGGCAGGAUCCUUGAGGACAAGAAGCUGCCAACAGAUUGGACACUCUUUGCUUCUCUGUGACCA
RNAcentral lists this unclassified non-coding RNA (459 nucleotides) under Hevea brasiliensis (rubber tree). Lineage: Eukaryota; Viridiplantae; Streptophyta; Magnoliopsida; Malpighiales; Euphorbiaceae. The record is from RNAcentral.